RNAcentral lists this ribosomal RNA (258 nucleotides) under uncultured bacterium. Its description in RNAcentral is "partial 16S ribosomal RNA". It matches the Rfam family "Bacterial small subunit ribosomal RNA", at positions 1113 to 1382 of the family's 1533-position model. The record is from RNAcentral.
AGUUAUAAUGUCUAACGAGACUGCCUAGUUAAUUAGGAGGAAGGUGUGGAUGACGUCAAAUCAGCAUGGCCCUUAUGCCUAGGGCCACACACAUGAUACAAUGGUCGGUACAAAAAGCAGCAAUAUGGUAACAUAGAGCUAAUCUAAAAAGACCGAUCUCAGUCCGGAUUGAGGUCUGAAACUCGACCUCAUGAAGUUGGAAAUUGGCUAGUAAUCGUGAAUCAGAUAUGUCACGGUGAAUAUAGUUCCUCGGGUCUU